AUUGAACGCUGGCGGCAUGCCUUACACAUGCAAGUCGAACGGUAACAGGUCUUCGGAUGCUGACGAGUGGCGAACGGGUGAGUAAUACAUCAGAACGUGCCUAGUAGUGGGGGAUAACUACUCGAAAGAGUGGCUAAUACCGCAUGAGAUCUACGGAUGAAAGCAGGGGAUCGCAAGACCUUGUGCUACUAGAGCGGCCGAUGGCAGAUUAGGUAGUUGGUGGGAUAAAAGCUUACCAAGCCGACGAUCUGUAGCUGGUCUGAGAGGACGAUCAGCCACACUGGGACUGAGACACGGCCAGACUCCUACGGGAGGCAGCAGUGGGGGAUUUUGGACAAUGGGCGCAAGCCUGAUCCAGCAAUGCCGCGUGCAGGAUGAAGGCCUUCGGGUUGUAAACUGCUUUUGUACGGAACGAAAAGCCCUGGGUUAAUACCCUGGGGUCAUGACGGUACCGUAAGAAUAAGCACCGGCUAACUACGUGCCAGCCGCCGCCGUAA
RNAcentral lists this ribosomal RNA (497 nucleotides) under uncultured bacterium. RNAcentral's name for it is "partial 16S ribosomal RNA". It matches the Rfam family "Bacterial small subunit ribosomal RNA", at positions 30 to 523 of the family's 1533-position model. The record is from RNAcentral.